Molecule: ribosomal RNA, 406 nt
Filed under: uncultured bacterium
Lineage: Bacteria
Description: partial 16S ribosomal RNA
Rfam family: Bacterial small subunit ribosomal RNA
Source: RNAcentral
AUUGAACGCUGGCGGCAGGCUUAACACAUGCAAGUCGAACGAGUGGCGGACGGGUGAGAAAUGUCUGGGAAACUGCCCGCUGGAGGGGGAUAACAACUGGAAACGGUAGCUAAUACCGCAUACCAUCGGAUGUGCCCAGAUGGGAUUAGCUUGUAGGGGAGGUAACGGCUAUCCUAGGCGACGAUCCCUAGCUGGUCUGAGAGGAUGACCAGCAACACUGGAACUGAGACACGGUCCAGACUCCUACGGGAGGCAGCAGGGGGGAAUAUUGGACAAUGGGCGAAAGCCUGAUGCAGCCAUUCCGCGUGUAUGAAGAAGGCCUUCGGGUUGUAAAGUACUUUCAGCGGGGAGGCGUUACCCGCAGAAUAAGCACCGGCUAACUCCGUGCCAGCAGCCGCGGUAAUAC